GGAUCAGUGCCUUGAGCCCGUGGGCUCUCUGUGCAUGCUGAAAGCAGCGUGGCACUGCUGCUGGGCUGGGACAUGAUGUCUAGGGGACACUGGCACGGGACAUGGCACUGCCCCACAGCUUUUGGGGCAUGCAGAUGGGGACAGGCUGUGCUUGGACAGCCCAUUCUUCCCCAUCCUUCCUGCCCCUAACAGCAAAUUGUGCCCCACAGCUGCAGCCAGCAGGCUGGAGAUCUCCGUGCCAGCCGUGGUGGAAGUGGAGACGGGGGCACAGCCAGGAUCGAGUGCAACUUCUACAUCCCUGAGGAUGCUCCCUGCACCUACAUCGACUGGUUCUAGGUGGACACAGCAAACAAGCAGGUGAGGCUGUACCACAUCACAGCCAGCAGGGUCGUGCAGGACAACACUGACUACAGGCACCAGCUGUGGGGACAAGGCUCUGUCCAUCAGCCAGGUGACAGUGCAGGGUGCCAGGACCUUCGUGUGCCAGGUUGGAGCUGGCAGCUGCGGCGUGGGCGAGAGCAGCACCGAGCUCAGCGUCUGCAAGGUCCCCGAGACCCCUGGGAUGGAGAUGCUCACCUCUAGCCUGGAGAGGGAGCUUGGCAGAGCUUCUCUCGCUGCUCCUCUCCCUGCAGGAGGGCUGAGCCACCAUGGAAUGGAACUGCUGCCACCACGCUGACCCACGGGCCCGUUCUGACUCCAGCAGUGGUUUUUGCUUGUUUGUACUGUUGCAUUUGUAUUUUUAAUUUUCCUAGUAAA
This is a long non-coding RNA of Vidua macroura (Pin-tailed whydah), 756 nucleotides long. RefSeq lists it as uncharacterized. The record is from RefSeq and is a predicted model, not a curated record. The transcript has 3 exons. Lineage: Eukaryota; Metazoa; Chordata; Aves; Passeriformes; Viduidae.